Molecule: unclassified non-coding RNA, 240 nt
Filed under: soil metagenome
Description: partial contains 5.8S ribosomal RNA, internal transcribed spacer 2, and large subunit ribosomal RNA
Source: RNAcentral
AACCAUUCUCACCUGCGGCUAGACCUGCGGAAGGAUCAUUACCGAGUUAGGGUAGUCACACUGCCGGACCUCCCAACCCUGUGUCUACCAUACCUUGUCGUUGCUUCGGCGGACCGGUUGACCAACUGGUCAUGACCGCCGGGGGCUGGCUCUGUCCCCCCUGGAGAGCGUCCGCCGAUGGCCCAACCACAAAACUCUUGUACCGAAACGUGUCGUCUGAAUUAUGUUUGAGAAAUCAAA